This 2366-nucleotide long non-coding RNA is filed under the name Pelobates cultripes (western spadefoot toad). Lineage: Eukaryota; Metazoa; Chordata; Amphibia; Anura; Pelobatidae. The record is from RNAcentral.
CGCCAAUAUCAAAAAGCAAUAAUCAAUUACCCCAAGGUUUUUAAAGAUAUUGGUGGGCACCAAAACCCUAUUCGGGAUGAGUGAAUUGAGUAUUUGAGAAAGGGAAAGACACUGACAUCAGGUACUUGUAAAUAAUCAAUACAAACUUUAUUGAUUAACAAAGACUUAAUUAAUAAGUAAUCAUUCAACUUAAAGAAACAGUUUAAUAUUCAGCUUAAAGAAACAGCUCAAGUAUACAUCGUCAUAAGAGAAGCUUGCUGCACUCGACUGAGAGAACUUCUGGCAGUCUGGCUUGAAGGGGACCUUCUCUUACUAGGAAAUCAGCAGAACCAGUGAUACAUGUCCGUAUUACAGGUGGGUAGUACUCCAAACGAGUGCCAAGUUUUCUUGUCUUUUAUAAGUUCUUAAUAAUCAAUGGGGUGAAUAGUCUGUACUUUUGCAACAAAUCUUCUUAUCAGUGCAGCCCAGCAAACACCUUGCAAAAGCGUUGGAUGGGACCUGCAGAUGGCCAGGCUGUCCAGCUCCAACAAUAUCAUGCCAGGUCUGUACGGUUAUUAUCUCUGAUCUAAAAAGCUAGCUCUGUUCUCAUAACUAUCUUGUGAUGGCAUGCAUGAGUCAUUCUUGUGCUGUGUUUUGUGGUUAGUAACAUUUUCAGUACUGUGUACCGGCGCCAUCUUAACUAUCUAUAAUAGUUUAAUUUGCUCAAUAGUGAUCAAUCAAAGAUUCUUAAUUAAUAUGGAAUAUUAUUAUCAUAGCUCGGUAAUGUGUUAGGCCUUUGUGCUCAUUUAAGAGCAAUUCACCCGCCUUGUCUGUCAAGUGGUUUACAUGCACACUAGACUGUAGCUCUCUAUGGUGAAUCUACCUAAUGCUGCCUUGUAUCACUGUGAUAUCCCUCUCUGACUCCUCCCUCUCAUAUCACAGUUGUAUAGCUCCCAAUGUUUGGAGGUAUUUAACUGCCCAUGAAUCCCACAUCACAGGAUUCUCAAAUGUGGAUUAUAUAUCAUUUACAUUGUUUGCAAUUGACUCUAGCAUCUAGCACAUGGACAUCUAGACAUGUUGCUGCUCUAUGCGGGUGUAGUUCAUUCUCAAUAGAAAACUCCACACAGUUAUACCAAAGAGAUACUUUUACAAAGACAACAAUUUAUAUUUGGAAAGUCAUAUUAGACAAAGCCAACAGUAUCCAGCCUUAAUAUUUAUUAAUGUGUAAAAUAAAUGUUUCUGUUAUUCAAUACUCUUUUUUUUGUAACAAAUGACAUGCUAUAUCUCUCUUAACAAAAAUUACAACAAAAAAAUUACAAAUUACAAAAAGGUCCUCCCUUUACAGUGGUAUAUAAAUUGGCGCAUACAUAAGCAUGCUUUUCAGAAUGGAGUACUAAGAAAGAAAACAAAGGAUAAGAAAAAGAAAUAUAACAUCUAUUUUAGAGCACUGAAAAGAUUGGCUUGUUUCAGGGCUUCCAAAACAGGUCUCGCACACCAUCAACACAGCAUGUAUUAUCAAUCUCUGCACUUGUAAGUAAAACAAUUCUAAAUAAUUUUGAUAGUCCGUAUGCUGCAGUAGAGGUGGGAUUUAAGUGUUACAGGCACUCCACUGGUAAUCUGCCUUUGCUUCAGCUGAUGUUGGCAUUGAUCCAGUUAAUGUAGCUGGACACUUCGGUAUAGACGCCAGGCUUGUUAACCUCAGCACAGCCAGUUCCCCAGCUCACAAUACCGUACAACUCAACACGUCCUUCCAGCUCGCAAACAAGAGGACCACCAGAGUCUCCCUGUGGGAAGACAAAAUGAGAUUGUGGGUUCAAUAAGAGAAACAAAUAAUGCAAAAGAAGAAUUUAUAGAUAUAGCUUAAGUGUUUUAUCGUUUCUUUUAUGGCACAUUACCUACGUUCUCAAAAGCUGUACGUAGAGUAAAUUAUUGUCCUUGUUAGUUUAUUUUGACAACAAUUUGUGACAAAAGUGUGUUCAAUUAAUCUGAACUCAAUAUUACAGGGUUUUUGCAGACACAGCAGAAGUCUUUAACCUCCUUAUUUGCAUUGUCCUAAAAUGUGAUUUGAUCUUUACCUACGUCCCAAUGAUAGAUAAAAAGGAUCAGAAUAAACAAACACAAAAACAUAGUGUGGCGAAAAGUAACCUCGCCACUGGCUUUUGGAGGAGCCUAUUUGCCAGCCUCCUGCCCUGUGACUAUGGCCCCUGUAAUAAACUGUGGUUAAAGACACUGUUUGUACCUUUUGGACUUGUAUGGUUCGGUAUACGGAAUUUACCAAACGGAUCAGGAGUCUGGGUUUGAAUGCCGAAUAAACCACUGAAUGACUGGACCACCCGUACGAGAAGUGUGCCACCUAUAAACAUUAUUCACUCAGUAACACUUCAAAC